This is a non-coding RNA of Termitomyces sp. Mi166#008, 100 nucleotides long. Lineage: Eukaryota; Fungi; Basidiomycota; Agaricomycetes; Agaricales; Lyophyllaceae. The record is from the annotation of a GenBank genome assembly.
UCGGAUAUGGUGUAACGGCUAACAUUGCCGCCUUUCAUAUCACGGCUGAAAUAGACAAUAUGUCGCGCGGCAGCUCGGGGUUCGAUUCCCCGUAUCCGAA